Molecule: ribosomal RNA, 465 nt
Filed under: uncultured bacterium
Lineage: Bacteria
Description: partial 16S ribosomal RNA
Rfam family: Bacterial small subunit ribosomal RNA
Source: RNAcentral
GACGAACGCUGGCGGCGUGCUUAACACAUGCAAGUCGAACGGAAAGGCCCCUUCGGGGGUACUCGUGUGGCGAACGGGUGAGUAACACGUGAGUAACCUGCCCUUGACUUCGGGAUAACUUCAGGAAACUGGGGCUAAUACCGGAUAGGAAUCCUUGCUGCAUGGUGGGGGUUGGAAAGCUUCGGCGGUUUUGGAUGGACUCGCGGCUUAUCAGCUUGUUGGUGGGGUAGUGGCUUACCAAGGCUUUGACGGGUAGCCGGCCUGGGGGGGCGACCGGCCACAUGGGGACUGAGAGACGGCCCAGACUCCUACGGGAGGCAGCAGUGGGGAAUAUUGCACAAUGGGCGGAAGCCUGAUGCAGCAACGCCGCGUGCGGGAUGACGGCCUUCGGGUUGUAAACCGGUUUCAGCAGGGGCGAAGCUUGUGGUGACGGUACCUGCAGAAGAAGCACCGGCUAACUACGUG